UACUGCUAUCAGUGUUCGAUUAAGCCAUGCGAGUUAAAUGUUCUUCGUGAACAUGGCGUACUGCUCAGUAACACGUGGAUAACCUGCCCUAAGGUCCGGCAUAACCCCGGGAAACUGGGGAUAAUACCGGAUAAACCAUAGAUACUGGAAUGUUCUGUGGUUAAAAGCUCCGGCGCCUUAGGAUGGAUCUGCGGCCUAUCAGGUAGUAGUGGGUGUAAAGUACCUACUAGCCGACGACGGGUACGGGUUGUGAGAGCAAGAGCCCGGAGAUGGAUUCUGAGACAUGAAUCCAGGCCCUACGGGGCGCAGCAGGCGCGAAAUCUUUACAAUGCGGGAAACCGCGAUAAGGGGACACCGAGUGCCAGCAUAUUAUGUUGGCUGUCCACCUGUAUAAAUCACAGGUGUUAGCAAGGGCCGGGCAAGACCGGUGCCAGCCGCCGCGGUAACACCGGCGGCCCGAGUGGUAGCCACUAUUAUUGGGUCUAAAGGGUCCGUAGCCGGUUUGAUCAGUCUUCCGGGAAAUCUGACAGCUCAACUG
RNAcentral lists this ribosomal RNA (538 nucleotides) under uncultured archaeon. RNAcentral's name for it is "bacterial SSU rRNA". It matches the Rfam family "Archaeal small subunit ribosomal RNA", at positions 25 to 565 of the family's 1478-position model. The record is from RNAcentral.